UGCAGGAGGAACCCAAUAUGACGAAGUCAUAUUAAGGAAUGGUUCCGACGACCUGCCGCCGAGCGAAGGCGAGGGGCGACACAGAUU
This is a small RNA of Clostridium sp. CAG:167, 87 nucleotides long. It matches the Rfam family "GA-cis RNA". The record is from Rfam. NCBI's taxonomy places the organism in Bacteria, Bacillati, Bacillota, Clostridia, Eubacteriales, Clostridiaceae.